ACUUAAAUAAUAUAAUUAUUAUAUUUGACUUCCAAUCAAAAUAUCUAGCAAGCUAGCUUAAGUA
RNAcentral lists this transfer RNA (64 nucleotides) under Scolytinae sp. BMNH 1039990. Its description in RNAcentral is "tRNA-Gly". Lineage: Eukaryota; Metazoa; Arthropoda; Insecta; Coleoptera; Curculionidae. The record is from RNAcentral.